UACGUAGGUGGCGAGCGUUGUCCGGAUUUACUGGGCGUAAAGGGAGCGUAGGCGGACUUUUAAGUGAGAUGUGAAAUACCCGGGCUUAACUUGGGUGCUGCAUUUCAAACUGGAAGUCUAGAGUGCAGGAGAGGAGAAUGGAAUUCCUAGUGUAGCGGUGAAAUGCGUAGAGAUCGGGAGGAACACCUGUGGCGAAGGCGGCCAGCUGGGAUACACCUGACGCUGAGAUGCGAAGGCGUGGGGAGCGAACGGGAUUAGAUACCCCCGUAGU
This 271-nucleotide ribosomal RNA is filed under the name uncultured prokaryote. RNAcentral's name for it is "partial 16S ribosomal RNA". It matches the Rfam family "Bacterial small subunit ribosomal RNA", at positions 524 to 794 of the family's 1533-position model. The record is from RNAcentral.